This 253-nucleotide ribosomal RNA is filed under the name uncultured bacterium. RNAcentral describes it as "partial 16S ribosomal RNA". It matches the Rfam family "Bacterial small subunit ribosomal RNA", at positions 524 to 776 of the family's 1533-position model. The record is from RNAcentral.
UACGGAGGGUGCGAACGUUAAUCGGAAUCACUGGGCGUAAAGCGCGCGUAGGCGGUUUGUUAAGUGGGAUGUGAAAUCCCCGGGCUUAACUGGGGAGGGUCACGCGAUACUGAUCGACUCGAAGGCAGGAGAGGGUAGUGGAAUUCCCGGUGUAGUGGUGAAAUGCGUAGAUAUCGGGAGGAACACCAGUGGCGAAGGCGACUACCUGGCCUGUUCUUGACGCUGAGGCGCGAAAGCUAGGGGAGCAAACGGG